This 1550-nucleotide ribosomal RNA is filed under the name Methanobacteriota archaeon. RNAcentral's name for it is "bacterial SSU rRNA". It matches the Rfam family "Archaeal small subunit ribosomal RNA". The record is from RNAcentral. Lineage: Archaea; Methanobacteriati; Methanobacteriota.
UAACUCCGGUUGAUCCUGCCGUCGGGCACCGCUAUCGGAGUUGGACUAAGCCAUGCGAGUCGAGGGCACCCCGCAAGGGGAGACCCGGCGUACGGCUCAGUAACACGCGGAUAAUCUACCCUGUGGUGGAGGAUAACCUCGGGAAACUGAGGAUAAUACUCCAUAGUAAUCCUGUGCUGGAAUGCUGGGGUUACGAAAGCUCCGGCGCCACAGGAUGAGUCUGCGGCCUAUCAGGUAGUAGUGGGUAUAACGGACCCACUAGCCUUCGACGGGUACGGGCUUUGAGAGAAGGAGCCCGGAGAUGGAUUCUGAGACACGAAUCCAGGUCCUACGGGGCGCAGCAGGCGCGAAACUUUCACAAUGCUGGAAACAGCGAUGAGGCAACUCCGAGUGCCAACGCGUUGCGUUGGCUGUUCUCCUGCCUAAAAAGCAGGAGAAGUAAGGGCCGGGUAAGACGGGUGCCAGCCGCCGCGGUAAUACCCGCGGCCCGAGUGGUGCUCGUUAUUAUUGAGCCUAAAGAGUCCGUAGCCGGUCUGAUAAAUCCUUGGGUAAAUCGGGCAGCUUAACUGUCCGAAGUCCGAGGAGACUGUCAGACUUGGGAUCGGGAGAGGCGGAAGGAACUCCCGGGGUAGGGGUAAAAUCCUGUAAUCCUGGGGGGACCACCAGUGGCGAAGGCGUUCCGCUAGAACGAAUCCGACGGUGAGGGACGAAGCCCUGGGGCGCAAACGGGAUUAGAUAGAACCCUUUCUUUGUGCUGGCAAAGAAAGCGUUCACAGAAAGAAACCAGCAAAGAGAAUGGUUCCUGAAAACCCCGGUAGUCCAGGGUGUAAACGCUGCAGACUUGGUGUUGGGUGUCCCACGAGGUCACCCAGUGCCGGAGAGAAGUUGUUAAGUCUGCCGCUUGGGGAGUAUAGUCGCAAGACCGAAACUUAAAGGAAUUGGCGGGGGAGCACCGCAACGGGAGUAGCGUACGGUUUAAUUGGAUUCAACGCCGAAAAACUCACCAGGGGCGACGGACAUAUGAAGGUCAGGCUGACGACCUUACCUGAUUGUCCGAGAGGUGGUGCAUGGCCGUCGUCAGUUCGUACCGUAGGGCGUUCUGUUAAGUCAGAUAACGAACGAGACCCUCACCCUUAAUUGCUAUUCCUUCCUCCGGGAAGGAAGCACAUUAAGGGGACCGCUGGCGCUAAGCCAGAGGAAGGUGAGGUCUACGGUAGGUCAGUAUGCCCCGAAUCCCCUGGGCAACACGCGCGCUACAAAGGUCGGGACAAUGGGAUUCAAACCCGAAAGGGGGAGGCAACCCCGAAACCCGAUCGUAGUUUGGAUUGAGGGCUGUAACUCGCCCUCAUGAAAAUGGAUUCCGUAGUAAUCGCGGGUCAACAUCCCGCGGUGAAUAUGCCCCUGCUCCUUGCACACACCGCCCGUCAAACCAAUCGAGUUGGGUUCAAGUGAGGGUGUAUCAUUUUGGUACGCUCAAACUUGAAUUCAGCGAGAGGGGUUAAGUCGUAACAAGGUAUCUGUAGGGGAACCUGCAGAUGGAUCACCUCCUA